ACGGGAGGCAGCAGUGGGGGAUAUUGCACAAUGGGGGAAACCCUGAUGCAGCGACGCCGCGUGAGUGAAGAAGUAUUUCGGUAUGUAAAGCUCUAUCAGCAAGGAAGAAAAUGACGGUACUUGACUAAGAAGCUCCGGCUAAAUACGUGCCAGCAGCCGCGGUAAUACGUAUGGAGCAAGCGUUAUCCGGAUUUACUGGGUGUAAAGGGAGCGUAGACGGCAAAGCAAGUCUGAAGUGAAAUGCCGGGGCUUAACCCCGGAACUGCUUUGGAAACUGUUUAGCUAGAGUGCAGGAGAGGUAAGCGGAAUUCCUAGUGUAGCGGUGAAAUGCGUAGAUAUUAGGAGGAACACCAGUGGCGAAGGCGGCUUACUGGACUGUAACUGACGUUGAGGCUCGAAAGCGUGGGGAGCAAACAGGAUUAGAUACCCUGGUA
This 434-nucleotide ribosomal RNA is filed under the name uncultured Lachnospiraceae bacterium. Its description in RNAcentral is "bacterial SSU rRNA". It matches the Rfam family "Bacterial small subunit ribosomal RNA", at positions 341 to 792 of the family's 1533-position model. Lineage: Bacteria; Bacillati; Bacillota; Clostridia; Lachnospirales; Lachnospiraceae. The record is from RNAcentral.